CGGGGGGGGCAAGCGUUGUUCGGAAUUACUGGGCGUAAAGGGCUCGUAGGCGGCCAACUAAGUCAGACGUGAAAUCCCUCGGCUUAACCGGGGAACUGCGUCUGAUACUGGAUGGCUUGAAUCCGGGAGAGGGAUGCGGAAUUCCAGGUGUAGCGGUGAAAUGCGUAGAUAUCUGGAGGAACACCGGUGGCGAAGGCGGCAUCCUGGACCGGCAUUGACGCUGAGGAGCGAAAGCUAGGGGAGCAAACGGG
This 251-nucleotide ribosomal RNA is filed under the name uncultured bacterium. Its description in RNAcentral is "partial 16S ribosomal RNA". It matches the Rfam family "Bacterial small subunit ribosomal RNA", at positions 526 to 776 of the family's 1533-position model. The record is from RNAcentral.